Molecule: ribosomal RNA, 506 nt
Filed under: uncultured bacterium
Lineage: Bacteria
Description: partial 16S ribosomal RNA
Rfam family: Bacterial small subunit ribosomal RNA
Source: RNAcentral
AGUGAACGCUGGCGGUAGGCCUAACACAUGCAAGUCGAACGGCAGCACAGGAGAGCUUGCUCUCUGGGUGGCGAGUGGCGGACGGGUGAGGAAUACAUCGGAAUCUACUUUUUCGUGGGGGAUAACGUAGGGAAACUUACGCUAAUACCGCAUACGACCUACGGGUGAAAGCAGGGGAUCUUCGGACGUUGCGCGAUUGAAUGAGCCGAUGUCGGAUUAGCUAGUUAGCGGGGUAAAGGCCCACCAAGGCGACGAUCCGUAGCUGGUCUGAGAGGAGGAUCAGGCACACUGGAACGGAGACACGGGCCAGACGCCUACGGGAGGCAGCAGUGGGGAAUAUUGGACAAUGGGCGCAAGCCUGAUCCAGCCAUACCGCGUGGGUGAAGAAGGCCUUCGGGUUGUAAAGCCCUUUUGUUGGGAAAGAAAUCCAGCUGGUUAAUACCCGGUUGGGAUGACGGUACCCAAAGAAUAAGCACCGGUUAACUUCGUGCCAGCCGCCGCGGUAA